UUAGAGUUCCAUUCUGGCUCAGGAUGAACGCUGGCGGCGUGCUUAACACAUGCAAGUCGAACGAACCUUCGGGUUAGUGGCGGACGGGUGAGUAACGCGUGGGAAUCUGCCCUCAGGAGGGGGAUAACGGUUGGAAACGACCGCUAAUACCCCAUAUGCCGAGAGGUGAAACGAAAUUCGCCUGAGGAUGAGCCCGCGUCUGAUUAGCUAGUUGGUGGGGUAAAGGCCUACCAAGGCAUCGAUCAGUAGCUGGUCUGAGAGGAUGAUCAGCCACACUGGGACUGAGACACGGCCCAGACUCCUACGGGAGGCAGCAGUGGGGAAUUUUCCGCAAUGGGCGCAAGCCUGACGGAGCAACGCCGCGUGAGGGAUGAAGGCCUCUGGGCUGUAAACCUCUUUUCUCAAGGAAGAAGAACUGACGGUACUUGAGGAAUAAGCCACGGCUAAUUCCGUGCCAGCAGCCGCGGUAAUACGGGAGUGGCAAGCGUUAUCCGGAAUUAUUGGGCGUAAAGCGUCCGCAGGCGGCCUUGAAAGUCUGUCGUUAAAGCGUGGAGCUUAACUCCAUUUCGGCGGUGGAAACUACAAGGCUUGAGUGUGGUAGGGGCAGAGGGAAUUCCCGGUGUAGCGGUGAAAUGCGUAGAUAUCGGGAAGAACACCAGUGGCGAAGGCGCUCUGCUGGGCCAUAACUGACGCUCAUGGACGAAAGCUAGGGGAGCGAAAGGGAUUAGAUACCCCCGUAGUCCUAGCCGUAAACGAUGAACACUAGGUGUCGGGGGAAUCGACCCCCUCGCUGUCGUAGCUAACGCGUUAAGUGUUCCGCCUGGGGAGUACGCACGCAAGUGUGAAACUCAAAGGAAUUGACGGGGGCCCGCACAAGCGGUGGAGUAUGUGGUCUAAUUCGAUGCAACGCGAAGAACCUUACCAGGGUUUGACAUCCCGCGAAUUCCUUGGAAACUUGGAAGUGCCUUCGGGAGCGCAGUGACAGGUGGUGCAUGGCUGUCGUCAGCUCGUGUCGUGAGAUGUUGGGUUAAGUCCCGCAACGAGCGCAACCCACGUCUUUAGUUGCCAGCAUUAAGUUGGGCACUCUAGAGAGACCGCCGGUGAUAAACCGGAGGAAGGUGUGGAUGACGUCAAGUCAUCAUGCCCCUUACAUCCUGGGCUACACACGUACUACAAUGCUACGGACAAAGGGCAGCAAACUCGCGAGAGCUAGCAAAUCCCAUAAACCGUGGCUCAGUUCAGAUCGUAGGCUGCAACUCGCCUACGUGAAGGAGGAAUCGCUAGUAAUCGCAGGUCAGCAUACUGCGGUGAAUAAAAAGCCGGGCCUUGUACUCACCGCCCG
This 1342-nucleotide ribosomal RNA is filed under the name uncultured bacterium. Its description in RNAcentral is "16S ribosomal RNA". It matches the Rfam family "Bacterial small subunit ribosomal RNA". The record is from RNAcentral.